Molecule: ribosomal RNA, 305 nt
Filed under: uncultured bacterium
Lineage: Bacteria
Description: bacterial SSU rRNA
Rfam family: Bacterial small subunit ribosomal RNA
Source: RNAcentral
GGCUCAGGAGAACGCUGGCGGCGUGCUCAACACAUGCAAGUCAAACGAACCUUCGGGUUAGUGGCGGACGGGUGAGUAACGCGUGUGCCUCUGCCCUCAGGAGGGGGAUAACGGUUGGAAACGACCGCUAAUACCCCAUAUGCCGAGAGGUGAAAAGAAAUUCGCCUGAGGAUGAGCUCGCGUCUGAUUAGCUAGUUGGUGUGGUAAUGGCGCACCAAGGCUUCGAUCAGUAGCUGGUCUGAGAGGAUGAUCAGCCACACUGGGACUGAGACACGGCCCAGACUCCUACGGGAGGCAGCAGUGGG